Molecule: long non-coding RNA, 8247 nt
Organism: Mytilus californianus (California mussel)
Lineage: Eukaryota; Metazoa; Mollusca; Bivalvia; Mytilida; Mytilidae
Exons: 2
Source: RefSeq, a predicted model, not a curated record
AAAACACUGAGCAGUUUUCAUGAAACUUAGAUGAAUUGUUUAUUAUAAUUGAUGUGAGCUCUCUUUCGAUUUUUAUAAAUUUUAAAUAUUACGUUUCCAAGUUAUGAGAUUUUAUUCAUUAAAAAAGGGGGAUUUUCCAGUUUUCAGACAAUAACUCAAAAAUGCUUUGAGCAGUUUUCAUGAAACUUUGGUGAAUUGUUUAUAUCUAUUGAUGGAGCUCCCUUUCGAUUUUUAUAAAUUUUCGAUUUCACGUAUCAGAGUUAUGGGGUUUUAUUCUUUAAAAAAGGGGGAUUUUCCAGGUUUCGGACAAUAACUCUAAGUGCUUUGAGCAAUUUUCAUGAAACUUUGGUGACUGGUUUAUAUCUAUUGACGGGAGCUCCCUUUUGAUUUUGUCUUUCUGGCAUGUAUCAUCAAACCUUGACCUAAUUUUCAUGGUUCAUUGGUCAGUGUUAAGUUUUCCAGGUUAAAUUUAUUUCUUAGAUACUAUAAGUAAUAGGUCAACUAUAUUUGAUGCAUUGAAAGAUUUUAAGAUGUACAUGUCUGUCUGGCAGGUUCAUCUGACCUUGACCUCAUUAUCAUGGUUCAUUGGUCAAUAUAAAAUUUUCAUGGUUUGGUCUGUUUCUUGUAUAGUAUAAGCAAUAGGUCGACUAUAUUCAGUGUAUGGAAUGAUUGUAAGGUGUACAUGUAUUUCUGGCUUGGUUUGUUUGACCGUAACCUCAUUUUCUUGGAUCAUGUUGAGUUUAUGUGAUACUUGUAGUAAAACUUUAUAUAUAGGACUAUCAACAUAAAAUCAAUGGUCAGUAGAGCAGGCGAGACAUUUAAGCUUGUGCACUCUUGUUUAUUUUUUCACAUUCAUCAAAUAUUGAUCAACCAGAUUAAAUUAUUUAUGACAGUUAAGCCAAAAUAGUACCAAAUAUUUAUUUGGCCAUUCUGAAAUAGUCCUCUUGAAAACUGAGAUAAUUAUACUGGGCAUGUGUGAUUGGAUCAAUAUCCAAUGACCCUAUGAUGCAAAACAGUGUCAAAUUCUCACCCCUCCUUCCUAGAUUUAAUAUUUGAUAGUUGGUUAAAAGAGGAUGUAUUCAAAUUACAAUAAAUACAUGUAGUACAAUGCAUUAAUAAAUGUUCAUAGCAGAAUACAAAUUUUAAUUUAUAAAAAAUAUGACCAAAAAUAUUACUUGUUUAAUACAGAUUAGUAAUUUUUUAUGUAACGCUGGGAAACAUAUUCUUUACAGGAAAAACUAUUCACCUGUCAACCGAUUGGGGCAUUUUCUUUCGGGAUUUCAAUUCUAUUUGGAACAUUAUGGAAGCAUAUUUCUAAAUUGAUAGUUGUUAAAAUAGAAAUUGUUCAAGUAAUAUACUAGAUUUAGGUUAUUAUACCUUAGAUUUCCCAAAGUUUUGCCUAAGCAAGUUGGCUUUUAUCAUCUAUCAGUUUAAACAAAAUAAAUUAUAUAAAUUAGAUUGAUUAAGAGAUUCAACGCUUUGGCAUAACAUUUCCAGUUUCAUAAAAAUCAAACUUUGAGGCAAUUACAUGAAGGAAAAAUAUCUAAAAAAAAAAAAAAAUAAUAAUAAUUUUUCGUAAAUCUUUCAAUGGUUAGUGAAACUGAAUGAAAAUUAGUAUUAAUUUUGUUUUAUGUGAUUUAUAUGAUACAAUAGAUUAUUGAAUCACAACCAGUAUAUUGCCUACACACUACUGAAAAGUGGUUGAUGAUUAGUUAGAUAUUUGCUCAAUGGUUAUUAAGAACAUGUACAAUAUCAUGAAUGGAAAGUGAAAGAUGAUGAGAUGGUUCAUGAUAUAAAAACUCAUUUAAUAUUCAGCAUAUUUAGGCUUCAGUGUAUGGUUCAUCAUAGUGUCCCCUGCGCAAUUAAUUAUUUAUGCAAAUAUUGAAUAUUAUCAAAUUAAAGUAAGUCGUUUUGAAGUUAGUUUUUUUUUAUAAUCAUCUUGGUUAUGCUUAUCAUCUCAUAAAUCAACUUAAAUGGCAGAAGACAGUUCUUUCAUAGAAUACUCAGUUGAAAUUUUGACAUUUCUUGCAAGAGUUAUAAAUUACAAAAUGGAUGCUUUUUGGUGGCCAUUUACAAGGGCUAUAGCAACAUUUUGAUACAACAGUUGGAAACCAGAUUUUGUUUCUUUUCUCUGUAUGAUGUACAGGGUAACAUGUUGGAAUUCAUUCUGGAUUUAAUAAAAAAUUAUUGUUCGGCAUCAUCACACUCCAAAAAACACAUUGGUUUUCGCACUCUAACUUUAGUUUUAGUGAAUGGAUCUCCAUGAAAUUUUACCAUAAGGUUCAAUACCACGAAAGGAAGGUUGGGAUUGAUUUUGGGGGUUAUGGUACCAACAGUUAAGGAAUUAGGGGCCAAAAAGGGGCCAACAAUAAGCAUUUUUGUAACUUCCAGACAAUAACAUGUGUGUAAGUGUAUGGAUCUCUCUGACAUUGUACCACAAGGUUCCUUAUCACAAAGGGAAGGCUGUAAUUGAUUUUGGGGGUAAUUGCCUCAAAAUUUUAGGAAUUAGGGGCCAAAAAAGGGGCAAAAAACAAGCAUUUUUCUAGUUUCAUGACAAUAACUUGUGUGUAAGUGUUUGGAUAUUUCUGAAAUUGUACUACAAGGUUCCAUAUCACAAAGGGAAAGCUGGAAUUGAGUUUGGGGGUAAUUGCCCGAAACGUUUAGGAAUUGGGGGCCAAAAAGGGGCCAAAAAUAAGCAUUUUUCUAGUUUCCAGACAAUAACUUGUGUUCAAGUGUAUGGAUCUCUCUGAAAUUGUACUGCAAGGUACCAUACCACAAAGGGAAGGCUGGGAUUGAGUUUGGGGGUGAUGAAUCAUAAGGGGGUUCAAAAAAUUUGGGGGGGGGGGGAUUUUUUUUUUUUCUUUUUUUUCUUUUUUUCCUUUUUUUUUUUCUUUUAAAAUUUUCCAUUGUAAGUUGGUUAUUUCUGAUUAAUAUUUAAAAGCAAAUAAUAAUGAUAUGGUAGGAGAUACACACCAAACAGGAUGUGUAAAUUAUUAUAUAAUAAGUAUUGUGCAAUAGUAAGAAAUUUUCAAUUGCACAGUAUUGCGCAAUAACAAGAAAUCUUCAAUUGCACAGUAUUGCGCAAUAGCAAGAAAUAUCCAAUAGCACAAUAUUGCGCAAUAGCAAGAAAUUGUCAAUUGUACAGUAUUGCGCAAUAGCAAGAAAUAUUCAAUUGCACCGUAUUGUGCCAAAGAAGAUACUUCGUAUAAAUUGCUUAUUUCUUGAUCAAUUUCAAUGGGGUUUUAUUCUUGAAUUCUUGGGGUUCUUUAAUAUGCUGAAUCUAAUCGUGUAUUAAGUUUUUAUACGCCCGUUUAUGGGACGUAUUAUGGUAUACCGUUGUCCGUCUGUAUGUCAUUUACUCAAAAACGCUUUAACCAAUUUGCAUAAAACUUUGGUGAAUUGUUUAUAUCUAUUGACGUGAGCUCCCUUUCGUUUUUUAUAAAUUUUAGAUUUUAUGUUUCUGAGUUAUGGGGUUUUAUUCAUUGAAAAAAGGGGGAUUUUCCAGUUUUCGGACAAUAACUCAAGAAUGCUUUCACUAACAUUCAAGAAAUUGUGGUGAAUUGUUUAUAUCUAUUGACAUGAGCUCCCUUUUGAUUUUUAUAAAUUUUAGAUUUUACGUUUCUGAGUUACAGGGUUUUAUUCAGAAAAAAGGGGGAUUUUCCAGUUUUUGGACAAAAACUCAAAAAUGCUUUCAGCAGUUCUCAUGAAACUUUGGUGAAUUGUUUAUAUCUAUUGAUGUAAGCUCCGUUUAGAAUUUUAUAAAUUUUACAUUUUACAUUUCUGAGUUGUGGGGUUUUAUUCAUUAAAAAAGGGGGGAUUUUCCAGUUUUCAGAAAAUAACUCAAAAAUGCUGUCAGCAAUUCUCAUGAAACUGGUAAAUUGUUUAUAUAUAUUGAUGUAAGCUCCCUUUUGAUUUUCAUAAAUUUCUAAUAUGACAUUGAGAAUGAAUUGAACUUUAUUUGUUUAUAGUCUGAAAACAGAUUUACUAAGUAUUGCGCAACAGCACAGUGUAUUACACAACAGCAAGAAAUCUUUAAUUGAAUAUAAAUUCAAUUCAUAUAACCAGUUUCAAGUUCUUUGACUAGAUUUAUUCAGAAACCUAUAAUAUGUCAAAUAUUUAAUUACAAUCCAAAUUCAGACCUGUAUCAAGCUUGAAUAUUGUGUCCAUUUUUGCCCCAACUGUUCAGGGUUGGACCUCUGCGGGCGUAUCAAGCUGCGCUCAGCGAAGCAGUUUAUUGGAUUUUGGGCCCCGUUUUUAAAUUGGUCCACAUUGAGGUCCAAAGGGUCCAAAAUUUAACUUUGUUUGAUUUCAUCAAAAAUUUAAUUAUUGGGUUCUUUGAUAUGCCGAAUCUAACCAUGUAUUUAGAUUCUUAAUUUUUGGUUCCGUUUUCAAAUUGGUCUACAUUAAGGUCCUAAGGGUCCAAAAUUAAACUUUGUUUGAUUUUAGCAAAAAUUGAAUAUAUGAGGUUCUUUGAUAUGCUGAAUCUAAACAUGUAUUUAGAUUUUUUAUUUUUGGCCCAGUUUUCAAGUUGGUCCAAAUUGGGGUCCAAAAUUAAACUUUGUUUGAUUUCAACAAAAAUUGAAUAUAUGGGGUUCUUUGAUAUGCUGAAUCUAACCAUGUAUUUAGAUUUUUUAUUUGUGGACCCCGUUAUCAAAUUGGGUCAUAUUGAGGUCAAAAGGGUCCAAAAUUAAACUUUGUUUGAUUUCAUCUAAAAUUGAAUUAUUGGGGUUCUUUGAUAUUCCAAAUCUAACCAUGUAUUUAGAUUUUUAAUUUUGGGUCCUGUUUUUUAAAUUGGUCUACAUUAAGGUCCAAAGGGUCCAAAAUUAAACUUAGUUUGAUUUUAACAAAAAUUGAAUUCUUGGGGUUCUUUGAUAUGCUGAAUCUAAACAUGUGUUUAGAUUUUUGAUUAUGGGCCCAGUUUUCAAGUUGGUCCAAGAUAGGGUCCAGUAUUUAAACUUUGUUUGAUUUCAACAAAAAUUGAAUAUAUGGGGUUCUUUGAUAUGCUGAAUCUAAACAUGUAUUUAGAUUUUUGAUUAUGGGCCCAGUUUUCAAGUUGGUCCAAAUUGGGGUCCAAAAUUAAACUUUGUUUGAUUUCAACAAAAAUUGAAUAUAUGAGGUUCUUUGAUAUGCUGAAUCUAACCAUGUAUUUAGAUUUUUUAUUUGUGGGCCCCGCUAUCAAAUUGGUUCAUAUUGAGGUCAAAAGGGUCCAAAAUUAAACUUUGUUUGAUUUCAUCAAAAAUUGAAUUAUUGGGGUUCUUUGAUAUGCCAAAUCUAACCGUGUUUUUAGAUUUUUAAUUUGGGUCCCGUUUUUUUAAUUGGUCUUCAUUGAGGUCCAAAGGGUCCAAAAUUAAACUUAGUUUGAUUUUAACAAAAAUUGAAUUCUUGGGGUUCUUUGAUAUGCUGAAUCUAAACAUGUGUUAAGAUUUUUGAUUAUGGGCCCAGUUUUCAAGUUGGUCCAAGUUGGGGUCCAAAAUUAAACUUUUUUUGAUUUCAACAAAAAUUGAAUAUAUGGCGUUCUUUGAUAUGCUGAAUCUAACCAUAAUUUAGAUUUUUUAUUUGUGGGCCCCGCUAUCAAAUUGGUUCAUAUUGAGGUCAAAAGGGUCCAAAAUUAAACUUUGUUUGAUUUCAUCAAAAAUUGAAUUAUUGGGGUUCUUUGAUAUUCCAAAUCUAACCGUGUAUUUAGAUUUUUAAUUUUAAGUCCCGUUUUUUAAAUUGGUCUACAUUAAGGUCCAAAGGGUCCAAAAUUAAACUAAGUUUGAUUUUAGCAAAAAUUGAAUUCUUGGGGUUCUUUGAUAUGCUGAAUCUAAACAUGUGUUUAGAUUUUUGAUUAUGGGCCCAGUUUUCAAGUUUGUCCAAGUUGGGGUCCAAAAUUAAACUUUGUUUGAUUUCAACAAAAAUUGAAAAUAUGGGGUUCUUUGAUAUGCUGAAUCUAACCAUGUAUUUUGAUUUUGGACAUUGGACCAUAAUAGGUAAAUUAAAAAAAUUCAAGUUCAUAGACCACAUUCUUUCUGUGUCAGAAACCUAUGCUGUGUCAAAUAUUUAAUAACAAUCCAAAUUCAGAGCUGUAUCAAGCUUGAAUGUUGUGUCCAUACUUGCCCCAUUUGUUCAGGGUUCGACCUCUGCGGUCGUAUCAAGCUGCGCCCCAGCGAAGCAUUUUAUUAAAAAUUUUAAUUCAUGUUAAGAGUCCUUUUAGUGACACAUAGUACGUUAAAGCUUAUUAGUAGUGUACCUUUUUUUAAUUUGGCCACAUAGGGCAAGAGAGCUUUUCUCAUGACAUGGCAUCCGUGUUCCUUAUCCCACAUCGUCCAUUAACUUUUACAAAAAUCUUCUCUGAAACUUCUUGAUAAAAUUUAGCCACAAUCCUUAUUUGGGUAUCCUGUUUUAAAAAUGUGUCCAAUGACCCCAUCUGCCAACCAAUGUGGACAACAUGACUAAAAACAAAAGAUAGGGGUCAAAUUCAAGUAUUGUCUAUUAUCUUUAAAACUGCUAUAAAUAGAGAAAAUCCAAGAGUGGCAGAAAUGUUCAAAAUAUUGAGUUCUAAUUCUACCUAUUGUCCAUUUACAUCAAACUGUUGGAAGACUUCUUGUAGAAGUUAUUGCCCUUAUACAACAAUUUUUACCAAUUUUUUUCCAUUUUUGCCUUUUACCUUAAAAACUAUAAUAGAUACAGAGAAACUUGAAAUAACAAAUAAGUCAGCAAGAAGAUCUACAAAUAAGUCAAUAAAAACUAAAGAAGAUAGAGAGAAACUGUAAACAGAAAAAAUUACCAGCAAUACAAGAUCAACGAAAAAACGAAAUAUAUUGUCAUGAAUUCUGUUCUACUCCACAAUGUUGGAGAGUGUGCAUUCUUGACGAUGUACAUAGACCUAGGUGAGCAACACAGACUGUUUAGAGCUUCUAGUUUGCUGUUAUUUUGAAAACUAUGAGAGCUGGGUUAAAAACAUCUAUUUACUCUGAUAAUUUUGACAACUGCUGUUGGAGUUAUUAACCCAGAAAUGUUAUUUUUUUUUUUGCAUUUUUGGCUGGUACUAGUAUUUAGAAACCUACAUGAACUGAACUGGUUAAACAUGAAAAUUGCAAAAAUGUUCAGCAACAAACAGUUACUAUAGUAUAUGCAUAUUAAAGUUCUAAUAAGCAAACUGGUGAUUUUUUUUCACCAGGUACAAUACAGGCAUAGGUGUGCAUCUUGUUUUUCUCAUCACUUGGGGUCCGCUGUUGGUCAUCUGUUUACUUUUACAAAAAUCUCCUUUGAAACUACUAGGCAAAAUUUAACCAAACUUUGCCACAAUCUUCAUUGGGGUUUCUAGUUAAUAAAAAUGUGUCCGAUGACCACACCUGCCAACCAAGAUGGCUAACAUGGCUAAAAAUAUAACAUAGGGAUAAAAGACAGGUUUUGUCUAUUAUUUUGAAAACUGUUAUAAAUAGAGAAAAUCUGACAGGGGGGAUGUUUAGAAUGUUGAGCUCUACCAAUUGUCUAUAUACGUCAAAAAUGUCAGACGACUUCUUAUAGGAGUUAUUGCCCUUAAAUGACAAAUUUUACCAUUUUUUUUUUCAUUUUUGCCUUUUAUCUGGAAAACUAUAAUAAACAAAGAGAAACUUUAAACUGCUAAAAAUUAUGAUAGAUGGAUAGAAACUUAAAUAAGCAAAAAUGAUCAGCAAGGCAAGAUCUACUAACAAGUCAAAUUUUGCCAAUAUAAUAAGCAGACUGCCACUCUGUUAAGGAGUGAUUGCCCUUAAAUGAGGAUUUGUUUUUACCCUCUUUUGUGUUUUGAGCAAAAACUAUAAAGAGAUAGAGAGAAACUAAACAGACUAAAUGAUCAGCAAUACAAGAUCAACAAAACAGAGAUUUUUGUCUUGAAUUCUAUUUUCGUCUACAAUGUUGGAGAUUGUCCUUUGUUGAAUAUGCACAUAGACCAAGUUGAGCGACACAGGCUCUUAAGAGCCUUUAGUUUACUUCAGUGCAGCACCUUGUUUGAAAAGCUUUUUCAAAUAUUAUUUUUUGGUUCAACUACAAUGCAUUUGAAUUUUUAGUUACUUUAAUAUACUCUACUGUAAACUUUAUUUUAUAUUGCAAAUAAUUGUACAUUAUAUUGUCUGUUUUAUUUUUUAGUAUUUCAAAAGUUUAAUAAUAAGAUCUUAACUGUUAAAAAUAGAAUAGUUUGUUAUUAAUACAAAUGUGCAUUCAUAUAUAUUAUGAAAAAUAAUUUCAAAGCUACAGUAUCUGUUUAUUAAAUAUACGUUUUAUUUG